Long non-coding RNA from Eriocheir sinensis (Chinese mitten crab), 524 nucleotides. RefSeq lists it as uncharacterized. The record is from RefSeq and is a predicted model, not a curated record. The transcript is spliced from 2 exons. Lineage: Eukaryota; Metazoa; Arthropoda; Malacostraca; Decapoda; Varunidae.
UGGAAAGGGAACUGAAUGAAAAGGGAAAGAAAGAUAAGAAAAGUAAGACAAGAAAGGUUGAUGUUUGAGUUUCCCGCCGCCCGCCGCCUGCCCAGCCCCAGACCCAGAGCAUGGCGGAAUACCUGAGGGAGGGCGAGAUGCAGCUGCUGCUCCUGCAUCCGGACAGAAGUGAUGCCCACAACUACGCUGCCUGACCCUCGAUGAUCCAACCCUGGAGGAUAUCUGUCCGCUGAAGUGAUGGGUGCUCGUGCCUGUUGUGGGAUGAGCCAUAUGAAGCAGGGUUAAGAUUUAAUAAUGAAGAACCAUAUUAAAGUAAGGGAUUAGAGUGUAGGUCUUCCGCCAGCCAAGACCAGUCUUAUCCGGGUUCUUUAAUAUCUCAUUGUGCUUUAUAUAUGGCUCAUCCCGUAGUGUCUGGUGCCCAACACCCAACCAGCCCUGAACGCUUACCACUGCACCAGUACCUGAUGAAUCUGCAAUUUUCUAUAGUGUGCAUGUAACAGGGUAGUCAUAAAACCGCAACCUCA